AUUGAACGCUGGCGGCAUGCUUUACACAUGCAAGUCGAACGGCAGCGCGGGCUUCGGCCUGGCGGCGAGUGGCGAACGGGUGAGUAAUACAUCGGAACGUGCCCAGUAGUUGGGGAUAGCUCGGCGAAAGCCGGAUUAAUACCGCAUACGACCUGAGGGUGAAAGCGGGGGAUCUUCGGACCUCGCGCUAUUUGAGCGGCCGAUGGCAGAUUAGCUAGUUGGUGGGGUAAAGGCCUACCAAGGCGACGAUCUGUAGCUGGUCUGAGAGGACGACCAGCCACACUGGGACUGAGACACGGCCCAGACUCCUACGGGAGGCAGCAGUGGGGAAUUUUGGACAAUGGGCGAAAGCCUGAUCCAGCAAUGCCGCGUGUGUGAUGAAGGCCUUCGGGUUGUAAAGCACUUUUGGCGGGAACGAAAAGGACUGUGCCAAUACCACGGUUCGAUGACGGUACCCGCAGAAUAAGCACCGGCUAACUACGUG
This 484-nucleotide ribosomal RNA is filed under the name uncultured bacterium. RNAcentral's name for it is "partial 16S ribosomal RNA". It matches the Rfam family "Bacterial small subunit ribosomal RNA", at positions 30 to 507 of the family's 1533-position model. The record is from RNAcentral.